Molecule: ribosomal RNA, 253 nt
Filed under: uncultured bacterium
Lineage: Bacteria
Description: partial 16S ribosomal RNA
Rfam family: Bacterial small subunit ribosomal RNA
Source: RNAcentral
UACGAAGGGGGCUAGCGUUGUUCGGAAUUACUGGGCGUAAAGCGCGCGCAGGCGGCUCUCCAAGUCAGUGGUGAAAGCCCGGAGCUCAACUCCGGAACUGCCAUUGAAACUGGUCGGCUAGAGUACGAGAGAGGUGAGUGGAAUUCCCAGUGUAGAGGUGAAAUUCGUAGAUAUUCGCAAGAACAUCAGUGGCGAAGGCGGCUCACUGGCCCGGUACUGACGCUGAGGUGCGAAAGCGUGGGGAGCAAACAGG